This 387-nucleotide ribosomal RNA is filed under the name Vibrio cholerae. RNAcentral's name for it is "partial 23S ribosomal RNA". It matches the Rfam family "Bacterial large subunit ribosomal RNA", at positions 801 to 1188 of the family's 2925-position model. Lineage: Bacteria; Pseudomonadati; Pseudomonadota; Gammaproteobacteria; Vibrionales; Vibrionaceae. The record is from RNAcentral.
CGGAUGACUUGUGGCUAGGGGUGAAAGGCCAAUCAAACUCGGAGAUAGCUGGUUCUCCCCGAAAGCUAUUUAGGUAGCGCCUCGGACGAAUACUACUGGGGGUAGAGCACUGUUAAGGCUAGGGGGUCAUCCCGACUUACCAACCCUUUGCAAACUCCGAAUACCAGUAAGUACUAUCCGGGAGACACACGGCGGGUGCUAACGUCCGUCGUGGAGAGGGAAACAACCCAGACCGCCAGCUAAGGUCCCAAAGUAUUGCUAAGUGGGAAACGAUGUGGGAAGGCUCAGACAGCUAGGAUGUUGGCUUAGAAGCAGCCAUCAUUUAAAGAAAGCGUAAUAGCUCACUAGUCGAGUCGGCCUGCGCGGAAGAUGUAACGGGGCUAAGCA